This is a long non-coding RNA of Catharus ustulatus (Swainson's thrush), 1311 nucleotides long. RefSeq lists it as uncharacterized. NCBI's taxonomy places the organism in Eukaryota, Metazoa, Chordata, Aves, Passeriformes, Turdidae. The record is from RefSeq and is a predicted model, not a curated record. The transcript is spliced from 3 exons.
AGCAACCAAACACGGCAAAUUAACAACUGGGGAGAAACGACACCGAGACACCCCCUCCCCACUGCCCAGACCCGCUCUCCUCCACGCACCCAGACACCCCCACAGCCCCGUCGGGAGCGCUUACGGAAGCCCCCGGGGAGACAGAGCCGAGGGGGUCACCGCAGCGCUGCGGCAAGCCCGGGGUACCGGGGAACGCCGCUUCCCGCGCCGCCGGGGGUCCCGUACGAGGGAGUCGCUCCCCCAUUCCCGCCCCUCCGAAGCACGCUGCGUUCCAUGUGCACAGCCCCCACAGCCCCUCACACUCGCGACACGGCGCGGAGGCUGGAAAGCGCAGGAACAGCGCGCCUGUUCCCGUGUGUGCAAACACGCCGGCUACAGCAGUGAAAAGGCUGCACAUCAAUGGUGAGGGAUGAAAGACAAACAGGAUGCAUUAUUGGAUAUCAGAAGUGCAAUGCUGGAAAACAAGACUUGCCUGGCACUGACACAUUAACCCUUCAAGAAAUCAUCUAAACUGACUAACACCCUGAAAUUCAUUGGGAGCUUCCUGGAAAGGAGAAUUUUAAGAACAAGAACAGAAAAAAAAAACCUGGUAAAAGUUGUAACUGGCUCUGCCGGUCUGUGCUAUGACAGCCAACAAUAUCACCUGCUGAUGAUUUACAGAUUCCUGGGAGAUGUGUUGUUGAGUCUCAAGGAACUGGAACAAGAACAACUCGCUCAAAUUGCUUCCCGUGAAACAGCAUAAUGUAUCCACCCGCUUCAUGCUCUCCUAAUUUAGGACACAUGUAGUCUGUAAUGAUGAAUGGGCCAACUGAUUAUGUUGCUGGAAAUCUCAUUCCCCACCUUACAAAACACCCCUGAUUGACCCCUUUCUCAUGAUAGCUCAGUGCAGCAUUUCCAGUCCACUUCUUGGAUUGGAAAGGGAGAAAAAUCACACUAGCCACUUGCAAAAGCACUUCUUCGGAGAGAAAAAUGCAACAUUUUGUUGUUUUUAUUCCACUGGGCAGCCUUUCCAAGUUCUAUGACCAACUUUUGCUUCCCUUUAAAUUGUGACCAGUUUAUUUAUCCUUCUUUGAACACAAUAACUUAAUUAAGAAACUAAUCAGCAGUGUUGAACUGAUCUUUCAACUCACCCCUAUCACUGAAAGAAAUUUAUGAAUGCAUAAUACAAGAAAGAUCCUAUUAUCCUAAAAGCUUUCUACUAAAAGCAUUUGGCGUCUAAAAAGUACGACUUGAAAUUCUGCACUAAAUUUAGAAUGUAAGUGUGUGAAGAUUAUUUAUGGAGUCUGAAAUGUACCCCAACUGAAUCUAACA